UACGAAGGGUGCAACCGUUGCUCGGAAUCAUUGGGCGUAAAGCGCACGUAGGCGGCCUGAUAAGUCGGAUGUGAAAUCCCUCGGCUCAACUGAGGACGUGCAUUCGAAACUGCCAGGCUCGAGUAUGGAAGAGGGUCGCGGAAUUCCCGGUGUAGAGGUGAAAUUCGUAGAUAUCGGGAGGAACACCAGUGGCGAAGGCGGCGACCUGGGCCAAUACUGACGCUGAGGUGCGAAAGCGUGGGGAGCAAACAGG
RNAcentral lists this ribosomal RNA (253 nucleotides) under uncultured bacterium. Its description in RNAcentral is "partial 16S ribosomal RNA". It matches the Rfam family "Bacterial small subunit ribosomal RNA", at positions 524 to 776 of the family's 1533-position model. The record is from RNAcentral.